This 535-nucleotide ribosomal RNA is filed under the name uncultured Pseudomonadota bacterium. Its description in RNAcentral is "bacterial SSU rRNA". It matches the Rfam family "Bacterial small subunit ribosomal RNA", at positions 8 to 522 of the family's 1533-position model. The record is from RNAcentral. Lineage: Bacteria; Pseudomonadati; Pseudomonadota.
AGAGUUUGAUCAUGGCUCAGAACGAACGUUAGCGGCGCGCCUAACACAUGCAAGUCGAGCGAGAAAGGGCUUCGGCCCCGGUAAAGCGGCGCACGGGUGAGUAACACGUAGGUAAUCUACCCCUGGGUGGUGGAUAACCUUCCGAAAGGAGGGCUAAUACAGCAUGAGACCACGAGUCCGAAAGGGCAUGAGGUCAAAGCCGGCCUAUUCACGAAAGCUGGCGCCUGGGGAUGAGCCUGCGGCCCAUCAGCUAGUUGGUAGGGUAACGGCCUACCAAGGCGAAGACGGGUAGCUGGUCUGAGAGGAUGAUCAGCCACACUGGAACUGAGACACGGUCCAGACUCCUACGGGAGGCAGCAGUGGGGAAUCUUGCGCAAUGGGCGAAAGCCUGACGCAGCGACGCCGCGUGAGUGAUGAAGGCCUUCGGGUUGUAAAGCUCUGUGGAGGGGGACGAAUAAGUGUUGGCUAAUAUCCAGCAUGAUGACGGUACCCCUUUAGCAAGCACCGGGCUAACUCUGUGCCAGCAGCCGCGGUA